Molecule: ribosomal RNA, 383 nt
Filed under: uncultured bacterium
Lineage: Bacteria
Description: bacterial SSU rRNA
Rfam family: Bacterial small subunit ribosomal RNA
Source: RNAcentral
GACGAACGCUGGCGGCGUGCUUAACACAUGCAAGUCGAGCGGUAAGGCCCUUUCGGGGGUACACGAGCGGCGAACGGGUGAGUAACACGUGGGUGACCUGCCCUCAGCUCUGGGAUAAGCCCGGGAAACUGGGUCUAAUACCGGAUAUGACUCCACGGUGCAUGUCGUGGGGUGGAAAGCCUUGUGCGGCUGAGGAUGGGCCCGCGGCCUAUCAGCUUGUUGGUGGGGUGAUGGCCACCAAGGCGACGACGGGUAGCCGGCCUGAGAGGGCGACCGGCCACACUGGGGACUGAGACACGGCCCAGACUCCUACGGGAGGCAGCAGUGGGGAAUCUUGCGCAAUGGGCGAAAGCCUGACGCAGCGACGCCGCGUGAGGGAUGAC